GAUGAACGCUGACAGAAUGCUUAACACAUGCAAGUCAUUGGCGAAGCUGCGCUUGCGCAGUCUAGCCAAGGCGGACGGGUGAGUAACGCGUAAGGAACUUGCCCUGCAGACAGGGAUAACAGACGGAAACGACUGAUAACACCUGGUAUUGUCAGGCUGGCGCAUGCCGGCCUGAUGAAAGGAUACGCUGCAGGAGAGCCUUGCGUCCUAUUAGCUAGUUGGUGGGGUAACGGCCCACCAAGGCGAGGAUAGGUAGCCGGCCUGAGAGGGUGAACGGCCAAAAGGGGACUGAGAUACGGCAGUGACGCCUACGGGAGGCAGGAGUGGAGAAUAGUGGACAAUGGGGGCAACCCUGAUCCAGGAAUUCUGUGUGCACGAAGAAGGUUUUCGGAUUGAAAAGUGGUUGCAGAAGGGAAGAAGAAAGUGACGGUACCUGCAGAAGAAGCGACGGCUAAAUACGUG
Molecule: ribosomal RNA, 462 nt
Filed under: uncultured bacterium
Lineage: Bacteria
Description: partial 16S ribosomal RNA
Rfam family: Bacterial small subunit ribosomal RNA
Source: RNAcentral